Molecule: ribosomal RNA, 253 nt
Filed under: uncultured bacterium
Lineage: Bacteria
Description: partial 16S ribosomal RNA
Rfam family: Bacterial small subunit ribosomal RNA
Source: RNAcentral
UACGUAGGGUGCAGGCGUUAAUCGGAAUUACUGGGCGUAAAGCGUGCGCAGGCGGCUUCUUAAGUCAGAUGUGAAAGCCCCGGGCUUAACCUGGGAACUGCGUUUGAAACUGGGAGACUUGAGUGUGGCAGAGGGGGGUGGAAUUCCACGUGUAGCAGUGAAAUGCGUAGAUAUGUGGAGGAAUACCGAUGGCGAAGGCAGCCCCCUGGGAUAACACUGACGCUCAUGCACGAAAGCGUGGGGAGCAAACAGG